Centropristis striata (black sea bass) is the source of this 538-nucleotide long non-coding RNA. RefSeq lists it as uncharacterized. Lineage: Eukaryota; Metazoa; Chordata; Actinopteri; Perciformes; Serranidae. The transcript is spliced from 3 exons. The record is from RefSeq and is a predicted model, not a curated record.
CAGGUCUCAGAGAUCCAAUCAGAGCCCUGCUACAGACCAGGAUGGAUCUCACUACGCUUCACUUUCACAUGGUGAUCUUUGCCUCUAUGACACAAUCAGAAGACCUGAAUAACCUGAAAAAGAUCAAUAAAGUUAUCUGAGCAGACAAAACCAAUCAAACAGAUGACGGAUAAAAAAAACAUCCUUGUUUGAACAGUUUUUGCAGCUUUUUUGUAAUCAUUACCUGCACUUUUGCUAUUAUUUACAGUGUUUUGUAGUUAACCCAGCAGUUCAUUCAAAGGAAAUGCAUCAUAUGGCUUUAAUAUUAUUUUGUAUUAGUUAAAAAAUGCUAUAUCAUUUGAAAUAUAUGACAUGUAAUUAAAAUGUUUGUAUUGAGAGUUUAUAUUCUGUAUUCAUUUGUUUUGUAGAUAACGUUAAAUGGAGGCUGAUUAAAAAAAGCAGCAAAAAGAGUCUGAAGUUUAAAUUAUUAGAGCUUCAGCACCCCAUAAAGUUAGCAUCUCUUAUGUUUUUUAUAACAAAGCUUUACUAGUUUAUUACA